This 316-nucleotide ribosomal RNA is filed under the name Triticum aestivum (bread wheat). RNAcentral describes it as "partial small subunit ribosomal RNA". Lineage: Eukaryota; Viridiplantae; Streptophyta; Magnoliopsida; Poales; Poaceae. The record is from RNAcentral.
CGCUCAUGGAGCUUCGUCUCGGGUGCGACGGCAUGGACUCGGGGAUGUACGCGCCGCUCUUGGACGAACAGCCGCGGUUGAAGCGCAGGUGGCCGCAGCUGUAGGAGUUGCUGUGUCCGCACGUUAAACACUUGUAGUAGUCCUAGCGCGUCGACGACGUCUUGAAGGUCCUGAUGGUCAUCUCCGACCGCCGCAUGCAGCCGCUCCUGCGCCGCUCACUCGCGUACUCGGUCAGCGACCACGAGUAGUGCGAACCACCGUUGCUGAAGCAGUUGUUGAUGACGGACCACGGGAAGAGGCGAUCCAGGGUCGUCAA